Molecule: long non-coding RNA, 253 nt
Filed under: Brassica napus (rape)
Lineage: Eukaryota; Viridiplantae; Streptophyta; Magnoliopsida; Brassicales; Brassicaceae
Description: long non-coding RNA (BNAP_LNC006884)
Source: RNAcentral
CCCUAAGCUCUUGAUAAUAAAACAACUCAGAGUGUCUAUGGUGUCUUUACAGAUCUUUUUUAUGUGCAGCUUAUGAAGUAUUCUCAAAACCAAAAGCAUUAACUAUAUUGUCCAUUGUUCCUAAAUCCUUGGCAUAAAGAUUGACCAGACCCCAAAUCGAUUCCAAUUGGUUACUCAAUCACAGCUGCAAAUCUUGAGAUUGGUCUUAAACUCCCCAACCAAGCCAUUCUCUAUCUCUUUUCAUGCUUGCCCC